Long non-coding RNA from Canis lupus familiaris (dog), 1700 nucleotides. RefSeq lists it as uncharacterized. Lineage: Eukaryota; Metazoa; Chordata; Mammalia; Carnivora; Canidae. The transcript is spliced from 3 exons. The record is from RefSeq and is a predicted model, not a curated record.
GUUACCUGCAUCAUUCCCCCACACCCCCGGAACAGGUAACACACCCGAAGGGGGUAAUUUCAUGAAGGCACAGCUCCCCUUGAUCCCCUUGAUCCCCUUGAUCCUCCUCUUGAUCCCCUUGGUCAAGCCCCCAGGAGGCCAGAGGGCACAGGUCUGUGCAGUGAUGGAGAGGAUUUGGAGGGACACACGGAAGAUACCUGGCUGCUCAGGCACCUCAAAAUCUGGGACUCCGAUGCCCCCACUUUAUCUCAGGUUUGUGACCAAGAAUGAUAGUUCUGAUCACGGCUGAAGGUAAGUGUGUGAAGGGGAGGACCCGACACAGAAGCCCAUAAGCAAGCUCUAUAGCCACACAGGGUCCCGGCUCUGAGUCUCGCGGAGGACACAGGUGAGCAGACAGGCAGUGGCAAAGUCACCUUGGCAGCGACAUCCCUGGGGGAGCACACACAAGGGCAGUGCUCGCAGCCUUGGGGCAUCCGGGAGUGCUUCCUGGAAGAAGGGAUCCCAACCUGGGAUGGGAAGGAAGAGAGGAGCGAGUCCUGUGAAGAGGACAGAAGAGCAGGGUCUAUGGCCCGCGGGGGGGACACUGUGGCUGUGGAAAGAGAGGGACAGGGGGCUGGAAAGGUGGGCUGGGCCAGGUCACGCAGAGCCUCGGAGGCUGAGGAACUCCGCCUGAGCAAGAGGGAAGCGUGGAAGGCGUGUCCGCAGGCCCCACAUGGAAGUACUCAGACCCACGAAGCAUUUACUGAGCACCUGCUGGGCACAGGUUGCUAUCGGCACUCUACAGAACGCAGGAAGAGUCCAAGAGAUGAGGACUCCCUGGGAGGGUCUAAUCACUCACUGAGGCAGGAAACAGUCUCCCCACAUAGCGCAGAGACGCUCAUCACUGCCUGCACUUCCAGUGGCUGCAGACUGCUGCUCUGAGGCUCCGAGCACAGCAGCGCAGUUCGCAGUUUGGGGGAGAGGAGCUCUAACAGGCUGAACUGGUCAGACGGGGGUAACACACGUGGCCCAACUAGAAGGGAGAGGAUGACUCACCACUCGAAUGGUUGUUAGCUGGCAGGAAACACCAUGGGAGAGAAGCUUGUCGGCCAGUAUCUUCGAGGAAGAAACUCCCCUCAUUUUAUAAUGUGGAAACUGAGACCCAGAUGGAAAGCGUCCUGCCCAAAUAUGGACUGGGAUUAUUGGUUUCCUGGUCCCUAGAACACUUCUUUUUCCAGUAACAACCAUAAUAAUAACAAAAGCCGCCAACAUUUUACUAAGUACUUCAUAUGUGUCAAGCUCUGUGCCAAGCAUCACAUCUAUUCCAUUGCAUUACGUUAUAUUACAUUAUAUUAUAAUUGUGAUACAUAUAAUUAUAUAUUAAAACUGUGUGAUCUUGUACAAGUCCCGUAAAUUAUGAGUCUUGGGUGGUGGUUGUUUUUUUUUUUUUUUUAAUCUGUGAAUAGGAGAAACCAGUUAUCGGAGCUGUUAAAUGUUAUACAGAGUUCAUAAAGUAACAUCAAUAAAGUGGAGCGUCUAAAUCAAUAUAAAGGAGGCCUUCCUCCUCCUUGGCUGUAUUUCUUAUCUAUUGCUACAUAACAAAUCGCCACGAACUUAGCACCUUAAAACGUGUUGUACUUACUCUCUCACAAUUUCUGUGCAUCAGGGAUUCAGGCAGAGUUUAGCGGGCUCCUCUCUUGCAGAGUCUCCCACCAGCCCAC